RNAcentral lists this transfer RNA (77 nucleotides) under Bacillota bacterium. RNAcentral describes it as "tRNA-Val". It matches the Rfam family "tRNA". Rfam says of the family: Transfer RNA (tRNA) molecules are approximately 80 nucleotides in length. Their secondary structure includes four short double-helical elements and three loops (D, anti-codon, and T loops). Further hydrogen bonds mediate the characteristic L-shaped molecular structure. tRNAs have two regions of fundamental functional importance: the anti-codon, which is responsible for specific mRNA codon recognition, and the 3' end, to which the tRNAs corresponding amino acid is attached (by aminoacyl-tRNA synthetases). tRNAs cope with the degeneracy of the genetic code in two manners: having more than one tRNA (with a specific anti-codon) for a particular amino acid; and 'wobble' base-pairing, i.e. permitting non-standard base-pairing at the 3rd anti-codon position. Lineage: Bacteria; Bacillati; Bacillota. RNAcentral also lists the same sequence under 1 other name. The record is from RNAcentral.
GGGGCUGUAGCUCAGAUGGUUAGAGUGCUACGUUGACAUCGUAGAGGUCAUGCGUUCGAUCCGCAUCAGCCCCACCA